This 395-nucleotide small RNA is filed under the name Providencia alcalifaciens. RNAcentral describes it as "cspA thermoregulator". It matches the Rfam family "cspA thermoregulator", at positions 3 to 384 of the family's 428-position model. Lineage: Bacteria; Pseudomonadati; Pseudomonadota; Gammaproteobacteria; Enterobacterales; Morganellaceae. The record is from RNAcentral.
CGGUUUGGAAGUACAGGCCUAUUUAUGCUAGUCAGUUUAAAGUUGUUCACCAUUUAGCGUUAUCUAAGAUAUCCCUUCAUUGCGAAUUCCUUAUAAUUAAUUCCCAUAAGUAAAAAUAAAAAUCAAACCUCAUCUAUGCCUUAUGGCAAUCAAAAAAUUAAAGGAAAUUCUAUGUCUAAUACAAUGACAGGUUUAGUAAAGUGGUUUAACGAAUCUAAAGGUUUUGGUUUCAUCUCUCCUGAAGAUGGGAGCAAAGAUGUAUUUGUUCACUUCUCCGCGAUUCAAAGCGAUGAUUUCAAAACAUUAUAUGAUGGACAAAAAGUCAGCUUUUCGGUAGAAAAUGGCGCAAAAGGUCCAGCGGCUGCUAAUGUGGUGGCACUUUAAGACAACAUUAA